GAAUCCCGUCUUUGACAUGGACUGCCAGUGCCUAAUAGGUGCGCUCUCGAAGAGUCGAGCUGUUUGGGAAUGCAGCUCAWAAUGGGUGGUAAAUGCCAUCUAAAGCUAAAUAUUGGCGAGAGACCGAUAGCGAACAAGUACCGUGAGGGAAAGAUGAAAAGAACUUUGGAAAGAGAGUUAAACAGUACGUGAAAUUGCUGAAAGGGAAACGCUUGAAGUCAGUCGCGUCGGGUCGGAAAUCAACCUCGCUUUUGCUGGGUGUACUUUCCGUCCGAUGGGCCAGCAUCGGUUUCGGUUGCUGGACAAAGUUCUUUGGGAAAGUGGCAUCCUCGGAUGUGUUAUAGCCCUUGGGACAUAUGCAGCGGUCGGGAUUGAGGAACUCAGCACGCCCGCGAGGGCUGGGGCUUUUGUCCACAUGAACGUGCUUAGGAUGCUGGCAUAAUGGCUUUAAUCGACCCGUCUUGAAACACGGACCAAGGAGUCUAACAUGCCUGCGAGUGUUUGGGUGAAAAACCCAUGCGCGCAAUGAAAGUGAAGGUUGAGAUCCCUGUCGUGGAGAGCAUCGACGCCCAGACCAGACCUUCUGUGACGGAUCUGCGGUAGAGCACGCAUGUUGGGACCCGAAAGAUGGUGAACUAUGCCUGAAUAGGGUGAAGCCAGAGGAAACUCUGGUGGAGGCUCGUAGCGAUUCUGACGUGCAAAUCGAUCGUCAAAUUUGGGUAUAGGGGCGAAAGACUAAUCGAACCAUCUAGUAGCUGGUUCCUGCC
RNAcentral lists this ribosomal RNA (767 nucleotides) under uncultured Inocybe. RNAcentral describes it as "partial 28S ribosomal RNA". It matches the Rfam family "Eukaryotic large subunit ribosomal RNA", at positions 216 to 962 of the family's 3401-position model. The record is from RNAcentral. Lineage: Eukaryota; Fungi; Basidiomycota; Agaricomycetes; Agaricales; Cortinariaceae.